RNAcentral lists this ribosomal RNA (464 nucleotides) under uncultured bacterium. RNAcentral describes it as "partial 16S ribosomal RNA". It matches the Rfam family "Bacterial small subunit ribosomal RNA", at positions 28 to 507 of the family's 1533-position model. The record is from RNAcentral.
GACGAACGCUGGCGGCGUGCUUAACACAUGCAAGUCGAACGGUAAGGCCCCAGCUUGCUGGGGUACACGAGUGGCGAACGGGUGAGUAACACGUGGGUGACCUGCCCCGCACUUCGGGAUAAGCCUGGGAAACUGGGUCUAAUACCGGAUACGACCGUACCGUGAGGGUGUGGUGGAAAGUUUUUCGGUGUGGGAUGGGCCCGCGGCCUAUCAGCUUGUUGGUGGGGUAAUGGCCUACCAAGGCGGCGACGGGUAGCCGGCCUGAGAGGGUGGACGGCCACAUUGGGACUGAGACACGGCCCAGACUCCUACGGGAGGCAGCAGUGGGGAAUAUUGCACAAUGGGCGGAAGCCUGAUGCAGCGACGCCGCGUGGGGGAUGACGGCCUUCGGGUUGUAAACUCCUUUCACCAUCGACGAAGGUUUUCUGACGGUAGAUGGAGAAGAAGCACCGGCUAACUACGUG